RNAcentral lists this RNase P RNA (335 nucleotides) under uncultured Ruminococcus sp. Its description in RNAcentral is "Bacterial RNase P class A". It matches the Rfam family "Bacterial RNase P class A". From Rfam's summary of the family: Ribonuclease P (RNase P) is a ubiquitous endoribonuclease, found in archaea, bacteria and eukarya as well as chloroplasts and mitochondria. Its best characterised activity is the generation of mature 5'-ends of tRNAs by cleaving the 5'-leader elements of precursor-tRNAs. Lineage: Bacteria; Bacillati; Bacillota; Clostridia; Eubacteriales; Oscillospiraceae. The record is from RNAcentral.
GCAGGCUGUGUGAUAGCGUGACUUCGGUCAUGAGGAAAGUCCGAGCACCGCAGGGCAGAAUAGCUGCUAACGGCAGCCGGGGGCGACCCUAGAGCCAGUGCAACAGAGAGAUACCGCCGCAGCAAUGCGGUAAGGGUGGAAAGGUGCGGUAAGAGCGCACCAGAGUAUAGGAGACUAUACUGCUAUGUAAACCUUAUUCGGUGCAACGCCUAUUGGUACGUUUUGUCUUAACAUCGGCCCGGUGGACAAUGACGUAAUGGCGGCUGGAGCUGUGAGGCGACUUGCAGACGAGAUAAAUUAUCGCACACGACAGAACUCGGCUUAUAGGUCUGGUC